Molecule: ribosomal RNA, 497 nt
Filed under: uncultured bacterium
Lineage: Bacteria
Description: partial 16S ribosomal RNA
Rfam family: Bacterial small subunit ribosomal RNA
Source: RNAcentral
GAUGAACGCUGGCGGCGUGCCUAAUACAUGCAAGUCGAGCGAACAGACGAGGAGCUUGCUCCUCUGACGUUAGCGGCGGACGGGUGAGUAACACGUGGAUAACCUACCUAUAAGACUGGGAUAACUUCGGGAAACCGGAGCUAAUACCGGAUAAUAUAUUGAACCGCAUGGUUCAAUAGUGAAAGACGGUUUUGCUGUCACUUAUAGAUGGAUCCGCGCCGCAUUAGCUAGUUGGUAAGGUAACGGCUUACCAAGGCGACGAUGCGUAGCCGACCUGAGAGGGUGAUCGGCCACACUGGAACUUAGACACGGUCCAGACUCCUACGGGAGGCAGCAGUAGGGAAUCUUCCGCAAAGGGCGAAAGCCUGACGGAGCAACGCCGCGUGAGUGAUGAAGGUCUUCGGAUCGUAAAACUCUGUUAUUAGGGAAGAACAAAUGUGUAAGUAACUAUGCACGUCUUGACGGUACCUAAUCAGAAAGCCACGGCUAACUACGUG